GCAAGUCUGGUGCCAGCAGCCGCGGUAAUUCCAGCUCCAAUAGCGUAUAUUAAAGUUGUUGCAGUUAAAAAGCUCGUAGUUGAACUUUGGGCUUGGCUGGCCGGUCCGUUUUUUAACGAGUACUGGUUUUCAGCCGAGCCUUUCCUCCUGGUUUCUGUGUAGUUGGGCUUGUCUCAGCUGCAUAUGAUCCAGGACUAUUACUUUGAAAAAAUUAGAGUGUUCAAAGCAGGCGUUUAGCUCGAAUAUAUUAGCAUGGAAUAAUGAAAUAGGACGUAUGGUUCUAUUUUGUUGGUUUCUAGGACCAUCGUAAUGAUUAAUAGGGACGGUCGGGGGCAUCAGUAUUCAAUUGUCAGAGGUGAAAUUCUUGGAUUUAUUGAAGACUAACUACUGCGAAAGCAUUGCCAA
Molecule: ribosomal RNA, 405 nt
Filed under: uncultured fungus
Lineage: Eukaryota; Fungi
Description: SSU rRNA
Rfam family: Eukaryotic small subunit ribosomal RNA
Source: RNAcentral